This is a non-coding RNA of Pelobates cultripes (western spadefoot toad), 213 nucleotides long. The record is from the annotation of a GenBank genome assembly. NCBI's taxonomy places the organism in Eukaryota, Metazoa, Chordata, Amphibia, Anura, Pelobatidae.
AGCAGCCAUCUGAGGAGUGGCCAGUGAAGUUAUCACUAGGCUGUAAUGUAAACACUGCAUUUUCUCUGAAAAGACAGUGCUUACAGCAAAAAGCCUGAAGGGAAUGAUUCUACUCACCAGAACAAAUUCAAUAAGCUGUAGUUAUUCUGGUGACUAUCGUGUCCCUUUAAAUCAAGGCCACAGUUUGCUAAUUAAUACGCAUAUACAUCCAAG